RNAcentral lists this ribosomal RNA (401 nucleotides) under uncultured bacterium. Its description in RNAcentral is "bacterial SSU rRNA". It matches the Rfam family "Bacterial small subunit ribosomal RNA", at positions 356 to 773 of the family's 1533-position model. The record is from RNAcentral.
GGGGAAUCUUGCGCAAUGGGCGAAAGCCUGACGCAGCCAUGCCGCGUGAAUGAUGAAGGUCUUAGGAUUGUAAAGUUCUUUCGCUCGUGACGAUGAUGACGGUAACGAGAGAAGAAGCCCCGGCUAACUUCGUGCCAGCAGCCGCGGUAAUACGAAGGGGGCUAGCGUUGUUCGGAAUUACUGGGCGUAAAGCGCGCGUAGGCGGUUUUGCAAGCCAGAGGUGAAAUGCCUGAGCUCAACUUAGGAAUUGCCUUUGGGACUGCGAGGCUUUGAGGACUGGAGAGGUGAGUGGAAUUCCCAGUGUAGAGGUGAAAUUCGUAGAUAUUGGGAAGAACACCAGUGGCGAAGGCGGCUCACUGGCCAGUUUCUGACGCUGCAGCGCGAAAGCGUGGGGAUCAAAC